GACGAACGCUGGCGGCGUGCUUAACACAUGCAAGUCGAACGAAGAGCGAUGGGAGCUUGCUUCUAUCAAUCUUAGUGGCGCACGGGUGAGUAACGCGUAAUCAACCUGCCCUUCAGAGGGGGACAACAGUUGGAAACGACUGCUAAUACCGCAUACGAUCUAAACUCGGCAUCGAGGAUAGAUGAAAGGUGGCCUCUACAUGUAAGCUAUCACUGAAGGAGGGGAUUGCGUCUGAUUAGCUAGUUGGAGGGGUAACGGCCCACCAAGGCGAUGAUCAGUAGCCGGUCUGAGAGGAUGAACGGCCACAUUGGGACUGAGACACGGCCCAGACUCCUACGGGAGGCAGCAGUGGGGAAUCUUCCGCAAUGGACGAAAGUCUGACGGAGCAACGCCGCGUGAGUGAUGACGGCCUUCGGGUUGUAAAGCUCUGUUAAUCGGGACGAAAGGCCUUCUUGCGAAUAGUGAGAAGGAUUGACGGUACCGGAAUAGAAAGCCACGGCUAACUACGUG
Molecule: ribosomal RNA, 510 nt
Filed under: uncultured bacterium
Lineage: Bacteria
Description: partial 16S ribosomal RNA
Rfam family: Bacterial small subunit ribosomal RNA
Source: RNAcentral